RNAcentral lists this ribosomal RNA (467 nucleotides) under uncultured bacterium. RNAcentral's name for it is "partial 16S ribosomal RNA". It matches the Rfam family "Bacterial small subunit ribosomal RNA", at positions 28 to 506 of the family's 1533-position model. The record is from RNAcentral.
GACGAACGCUGGCGGCGUGCUUAACACAUGCAAGUCGAACGGAAAGGCCCUGCUUUUGUGGGGUGCUCGAGUGGCGAACGGGUGAGUAACACGUGAGUAACCUGCCCUUGACUUUGGGAUAACUUCAGGAAACUGGGGCUAAUACCGGAUAGGAGCUCCUGCUGCAUGGUGGGGGUUGGAAAGUUUCGGCGGUUGGGGAUGGACUCGCGGCUUAUCAGCUUGUUGGUGGGGUAGUGGCUUACCAAGGCUUUGACGGGUAGCCGGCCUGAGAGGGUGACCGGCCACAUUGGGACUGAGAUACGGCCCAGACUCCUCCGGGAGGCAGCAGUGGGGAAUAUUGCACAAUGGGCGGAAGCCUGAUGCAGCAACGCCGCGUGCGGGAUGACGGCCUUCGGGUGGUAAACCGCUUUCGCCUGUGACGAAGCGUGAGUGACGGUAAUGGGUAAAGAAGCACCGGCUAACUACGU